UUUACCUAGGGAGGCAGCAAUAGGGAAUCUUCCACAAUGGACGAAAGUCUGAUGGAGCAACGCCGCGUGAGUGAAGAAGGGUUUCGGCUCGUAAAGCUCUGUUGGUAGUGAAGAAAGAUAGGGGUCGUAACUGGCCUUUAUUUGACGGUACUUACUUAGAAAGUCACGGCUAACUACGUGCCAGCAGCCGCGGUAAUACGUAGGUUGCAAGCGUUGUCCGGACUUACUUGGCGUAAAGCG
This 240-nucleotide ribosomal RNA is filed under the name uncultured bacterium. RNAcentral's name for it is "partial 16S ribosomal RNA". It matches the Rfam family "Bacterial small subunit ribosomal RNA", at positions 335 to 567 of the family's 1533-position model. The record is from RNAcentral.